RNAcentral lists this ribosomal RNA (440 nucleotides) under uncultured bacterium. RNAcentral describes it as "bacterial SSU rRNA". It matches the Rfam family "Bacterial small subunit ribosomal RNA", at positions 338 to 775 of the family's 1533-position model. The record is from RNAcentral.
CCUACGGGAGGCAGCAGUAAGGAAUAUUGGUCAAUGGACGCAAGUCUGAACCAGCCAUGCCGCGUGAAGGAUGAAGGUCCUCUGGAUUGUAAACUUCUUUUAUAUGGGACGAAACCCUCGAAUUCUUUCGGGAUUGACGGUACCAUAGGAAUAAGCACCGGCUAACUCCGUGCCAGCAGCCGCGGUAAUACGGAGGGUGCAAGCGUUAUCCGGAUUCACUGGGUUUAAAGGGUGCGUAGGAGGGCAGGUAAGUCAGUGGUGAAAUCUCCGAGCUUAACUUGGAAACUGCCGUUGAUACUAUCUGCCUUGAAUAUUGUGGAGGUGAGCGGAAUAUGUCAUGUAGCGGUGAAAUGCUUAGAUAUGACAUAGAACACCAAUUGCGAAGGCAGCUCGCUACACAUAUAUUGACUCUGAGGCACGAAAGCGUGGGGAUCAAACAG